UACGUAGGGUGCAAGCGUUGUCCGGAAUUAUUGGGCGUAAAGAGCUCGUAGGCGGUCUGUCGCGUCUGCUGUGAAAACCUAGGGCUUAACUCUGGGCGUGCAGUGGGUACGGGCAGGCUAGAGUGCGGUAGGGGGAGACUGGAAUUCCUGGUGUAGCGGUGAAAUGCGCAGAUAUCAGGAGGAACACCGGUGGCGAAGGCGGGUCU
This 206-nucleotide ribosomal RNA is filed under the name uncultured bacterium. RNAcentral's name for it is "partial 16S ribosomal RNA". It matches the Rfam family "Bacterial small subunit ribosomal RNA", at positions 524 to 728 of the family's 1533-position model. The record is from RNAcentral.